RNAcentral lists this non-coding RNA (236 nucleotides) under Secundilactobacillus kimchicus. RNAcentral describes it as "Lactobacillus kimchicus T-box sequence". It matches the Rfam family "T-box leader". Rfam says of the family: Uncharged tRNA acts as the effector for transcription antitermination of genes in the T-box leader family. T-boxes are found upstream of many aminoacyl-tRNA synthetase genes and some amino acid biosynthetic genes usually in Gram-positive bacteria. The record is from RNAcentral. Lineage: Bacteria; Bacillati; Bacillota; Bacilli; Lactobacillales; Lactobacillaceae.
CAAAACGCUGUGAGAAAGUUGAGUAGUCACGGUAACCAGUAAGCGAGCUUUGGUUGGUGAGAGAAAGCCUGGUUGACGUGGUGAAAAUCCCUUUUGAGCGGUGCACCGAAGUUUGAGUAACGUGCACUGGCAACCCCCAUUAUCGGGUUAGCGUAUCGCUUUUUAGCCGUACGUGAAAAGGUUGUUUUAGUGAUGAAACGACAAGUUAAGGUGGUACCGUGCAGCGCACCCUUAAA